This 4539-nucleotide long non-coding RNA is filed under the name Sus scrofa (pig). Its description in RNAcentral is "lncRNA (ENSSSCG00030042785.1)". Lineage: Eukaryota; Metazoa; Chordata; Mammalia; Artiodactyla; Suidae. The record is from RNAcentral.
UUUUUUUUUUUUUUCUUUCCUUUUUAGGGCAUCACCUAUGGCAUGUAUAAGUUCCAGGGUAGGGGUCGAUUUGAAGAUUUGACUGCCAGCCUACACCACACCCGCAGCAAUGCCAGAUCAUAGCUGCAUCUUUGACCUUCACCACAGCUCAUGGCAAUGCCAGAUCCUUAACCCACUGAACAGGCCCAGGGAUUGAACCCACAUUCUCAUGGAUACUAGUUGGUUCGUUACUGCUGACCACAACAGGAAAUCCCAGGGUCUUCAUCUUUAAUGAAAAAUUAACUACAUCUCCAGGUAGUGAGGUCAUGUUGAAAUAAGCUCUGGAGGGAGUUCCCGUCGUGGCGCAGUGGUUAACGAAUCCGACUAGGAACCAUGAGGUUGCGGGUUCGGUCCCUGCCCUUGCUCAGUGGAUUAACGAUCCGGCGUUGCCAUGAGCUGUGGUCGGGUUGAGGAUUGGGUGUUGUCAUGAGCUCUGGUGUAGGUUGCAGAUGUGGCUUGGAUCUGGUGUGGCUGUGGUUGUGGUGUAGGCCAGCAGAUGCAGCUCCGAUUUGACCCCUAGCCAUGGAACUUCAUGUGACGCGGAUGCGGCCUAAAAAGCAAAAAAAAAGCUUGGAAAACGAUCAAUAAGUUUCAGCCCUCUCCCUUCACCAUGGAAGAAACAAGAUUCAGAGAGGGUGGCCUUGCCUAUGUUGACAUCACUUUUUAGAGCCCUAGCCUUGAGCUCAUUAAAGGGAGAACAGAAGGCGUCCACUGGAGAAGCUUAAAGAGAAGAAGGGAAGGAAAACUCAAGAAGCAUCACAUCCUCAGAACCCACAGAUACCUCAAAUUUCAUGUCCCAUAAAGAACUCAUUCCCAAGGGGAACAUGUAAUAGGAUCUCAGGCCAACUCAGUAUCAGAGUCAUUCUCAGUAUGCCCUCCCUCUUCCCAUCCCAUCAGUUACCUGCUCUUACAGCUUCUAUCUCAGAGAUGUCCCUGCCUUAGGUCAGAGUCUGAGAUUUCCCUCUUGGAUGAUUAUAAGUGCAUCCCAAUUGGUUUCCUCCUAGGAGUUUCUCCACUUGUCCCCUCCCUUCCAGCAAAAGUAAUCUUGCAGAAAACAAAUGUGAUGACUGAAAAACUCCCCACACUCCCCUCCCACUCUUCAGGGGUUAUUACCUGUAUGGUAUCUGCAAGCUCUGGUCAUACAUAGAUUCAAACUUCUCCUCCCGAGUCAAAGAAACAACAGUUCGGAAGUUUUCUAUUGCUUCAGUGGCAAUCUGUGUGAGAGAGGGCCCAGUCACUACAGGCACAAAGGCCAAUGGUGACAGUGAGUCUGAACUCCAUCAAAGAGAUUAAGACAAUUAAUUUUAUUAUUAAAUGUUUUUUAAUAUCGCAUAUUAAAUAAUACUUAGUAUGACCCAUGAGCUUCGAUGCUAUGGAAAAGGAUACUAAGUAAUCUGUCACAAAUGGAGUUUUAGGUCUGGAAGGAAGAUGGACUAAUUCAAACUCCAAUUUACAGAAGGAGAAGCUGAAGGUUAAACAGAUGAAGGCACUGACUAAAGCCACGUCACUUUACAGGAGCAAAAUUAACCUGAGAACUCAGUAUUUUACCUCUACUGCAGUGCUCUUUCUCUCUACUGCAGUGCUCUGUGUUUUAUUAUGAUCACAUUUUAAGUUUAUAGUUAUUACAUACAUGUAUUUAAGGUAACGUAUGUUUGUUUUGUACAGUUGUCGUUUGAGACAACUAAAGAAUAUUUGGAAAAGAUUGCAAAGGUAGAGAAGGUAAUGAAAAGUUACAUAUGUUUUACGUAAUGGUGUACAUGUAGUUUUUUCCCUAAAGAUACCUGUUUAACAAAAUUGGGCUCAAGUUCUGAAUUUGGCCAUAUAGCCUUCUCUUUUACCUUAACAAAUAUCAAGCACAUUUCCAAGGUCAAUAAAUAUACAUUAGCAAUGGAAUAUUUAAAAGGCCACUUAAUAUCCCAGCCGGCUAAGCAUUCCUUUAAGGUUUUCAGUUCUUAUUAAAAGUAAUUCUGUGUAAACAUCCUUGUACAUAAAUGUUUGCCCAUAUUGUUUAAAUUCUUCUGUUUUAUUUUAAACAUUUUUUGGCUACAUGGGUGGCCUGUGGAAGGUCCUGGUCUAGGGAAUAAACGUGAGCCACAACAGAGACAACACCAGAUCCUUACCUGCUGGGCCACCCCAUUCAGUUGUGUUGUAUUUUAAUUGAAUGUAAUUCCCAAUAAGGCUAUUUGAUUAAGACAAAUACGCCCUUUACCACCUUGUGAAAUCUGGGUAAAGGGCUGUGGAAAAGACAAAAACACCAGUGCACAAAAGGAGAUUUCAGCUUGCAUCAGCACAGGACCUUGAAACACCUCUCUGCCCAUUUGCCUCAUGUAUAAAAUAAGGAGGGUGGACAAGAGGGUCUCAGAAGUCCCUUUGAACUCUAAAUCUAAGAGAUCAAUUUGUGGAAUUAUAAGUCUAAAUUAUAAAUCAGUGAGAGACAUUUUAUUACAGUGUUCUUUUUUUCUCUGGUUUCUACGCUGGUCGUAUUUGAUACAAAUAAAGACGCGUUCAAUUACAUCUAAUGUAAUCAUUCUAAAUGAUUUACAGUUUACAAAUCUUGAAACCCAAAUCUCACUUAUUCUUUACUGCUACUAGCAAAUAUUUGAUAUGACAUUAAGCCAGUCCAAAGACUCACACAGAAAGCUAUUAGAAAACCAAUCAAUAUUAUAUUCUUAGAAAAAAAAACAUAUUUAAAAAUAAACUCAUGCAAACUAUUGCAUCUGGAAUGGAUAAGCAAUGAGAUCCUGCCAUAUAUCAAUGGAAACUAUAUCUAGUCACUUGUGUUAGAAUAUGAUGGAGGAUAAUAUGAGAAACAGAAUGUAUGUAUAUAUAUGUGUGCCUGGGUCACUUUGCUGUACAGUAGAAAAAUGACAGAGCAUUGUAAACCAACUAUAAUGGAAAAAACACAAAAAUCAUUUAAAAAUUAAAAAAUAAUUUCACUUUAGAGGGCUUAAAAAUGGGUUCAUCUUAAUUUUAAUUGCCUCCAAGGCCCUCUGUGGAGCCAAACAAAAUUUGAGUGAAUCCUUACAUUAAACUGAAUCUUUGAAAUGACUCAUUUCAUUCUCAACUUCCUACUAAAGUAGACACAUCGAAUAUGUCUAAACACAUCCAUGUUUAUAGAAUCACUAUUUGGAUGUAAGUCAUUUCAUAAUUAAGCCAAUCUAACUGCUGAAAUACUUUUUUAUUUGUUAAGGAGGAUUAUAAUUCAGGUCUUGAGGCAGGGAAAUCAGUAAGAUUAUUAUGACUGCAUUGUCUAGUGAAAGUAGGGUCUAGAGCAGGGAUUUACAAACUAUAUGCCAAAGGUAGAAUCCUGUUGGUCUCCUGUUUUUGUAAAUAAAGUUUUAUUUGGACAUACCUAAAAAAAUAAUAAUAAUAAAGUUAGAAGUAUUAUAUUCUGGCCCAGUAGGUCAAGAUGUUUUCCAUAAGCUACUAAUAUAGUUAAUUGUCCAUAUGCAAUUUAUAUCAAAAUAUUUUAUAAAAUUCUUUUUGUUAUAAAAAAUUAUAUAUACUCAUUUUAGAACAUCCUGAAAGUGCAGAAAGUAAAAAGUUAGAGGACAAAAAGUCAUCUCCAGUCAAACCCUCAAAGACAAUCUUUGUUCAGACCCAUGGCAGAAAUGUUUUCAAUUAUAAGGCAUCAAACACAGAGAAGUUUCUUAUAUGAGUUGGAAAAUCCCACAAACUAUAACACUGUCUGGUGGAAAACAGACUUUAGUCUAAAUUUCAAUGUAAAUUUUCUAAGCCAGGUGUGGUUUUUUGUGACUGGUUGUGUCAUCACUUUUUAGAAAGUGUGAACAGCACAAUAAAAGCAAGAGAUUAUGAGUUACAGACCUUGAAUGGCAAGUAAAACAAUAUAAUCACUGGACAAUCACCUUCAAUUAGGAAAGGGCUAAUUGCUUCCUAAGCAGUUAGGAAAGGGCUUAAUCCAGUACUCUGCAUCCUCACAGCUUCAUUUACUCCAGAGUUUUCCAUAAAGACUCAGUACCUACUAUGGGGAGAGAGAACUUUCUUUUUUUAAUUACUGUUCUAAACAGGCUUCAUAUAUUUAGUAAUUUUGUCUUCACACUUAACCUAUGAAAGAAGUGCAGUUAUUAACACCAUUUUGUGUGUGCGUUUUUUAACAUUUUGAUUAUAGCUGACUUUUUCUUUUUUGUCUUUUUAGGGCCUCACCCAUGGCAUAUGGAAGUUCCCAGGCUAGGGGUUGAAAUCAGAGCUGCAGUUGCCAGUCUAUACCACAGCCACAGCAAUGCCAGAUCUGAGCCUCAUCUGGGACCUAUACCACAGCUCAGGGCAACACUGGAUCCUUAACCCACUGAGCCAGGCCAGGGAUGGAACUCAAGUCCUCAUGGAUGCUAGCUGGGUUGGUUACUGCUGAGUGAUGAUGGGAACUCCUAUAGCUGACUUUCUAAUUCGAGAAGAGGAAGUAGCACUGAGUUUCCCUCAGAAACCAUCAUGAACUAAAUCAUUUUGAAGAAAGUAAAAAAUGUUUCUAGAAAAAAAAAAAAA